AGAACGAACGCUGGCGGCAUGCCUAAUACAUGCAAGUCGAACGAGACCUUCGGGUCUAGUGGCGCACGGGUGCGUAACGCGUGGGAAUCUGCCCUUAGGUACGGAAUAACUCAGAGAAAUUUGUGCUAAUACCGUAUGAUGUCGAAAGACCAAAGAUUUAUCGCCUAAGGAUGAGCCCGCGUAAGAUUAGCUUGUUGGUGAGGUAAAAGCUCACCAAGGCGACGAUCUUUAGCUGGUCUGAGAGGAUGAUCAGCCACACUGGGACUGAGACACGGCCCAGACUCCUACGGGAGGCAGCAGUGGGGAAUAUUGGACAAUGGGCGAAAGCCUGAUCCAGCAAUGCCGCGUGAGUGAUGAAGGCCUUAGGGUUGUAAGGCUCUUUACCAGGAUGAUAAUGACAGUACCUGGAGAAUAAGCUCCGGCUAACUCCGCGCCAGCAGCCGC
Molecule: ribosomal RNA, 444 nt
Filed under: uncultured soil bacterium
Lineage: Bacteria
Description: bacterial SSU rRNA
Rfam family: Bacterial small subunit ribosomal RNA
Source: RNAcentral